Molecule: ribosomal RNA, 797 nt
Filed under: uncultured bacterium
Lineage: Bacteria
Description: bacterial SSU rRNA
Rfam family: Bacterial small subunit ribosomal RNA
Source: RNAcentral
CAUGCAGUCGUACGAGAGUUUUUAACUCAAGUGGCGGACGGGUGAGUAACACGUAAGAAUUUACCUUUAGGAGGGGGACAACAACGGGAAACUGUUGCUAAUACCCCAUAUGCUUUCGAGUGAAAUGGAUUUAUCCGCCUAGAGAGAGGCUUGCGGCUGAUUAGCUUGUUGGUGAGGUAAUGGCUCACCAAGGCGACGAUCAGUAUCUGGUUUGAGAGGACGAUCAGACACACUGGAACUGAGACACGGUCCAGACUCCUACGGGAGGCAGCAGUGGGGAAUUUUCCGCAAUGGGCGAAAGCCUGACGGAGCAAUACCGCGUGAGGGAUGACGGCCUAUGGGUUGUAAACCUCUUUUUUCAGGGAGGAAUCAAUGACGUGUACCUGAAGAAUAAGCAUCGGCUAACUCCGUGCCAGCAGCCGCGGUAAGACGGAGGAUGCAAGUGUUAUCCGGAAUCACUGGGCGUAAAGCGUCUGUAGGUGGUCAAAUAAGUCAACUGUUAAAUCUUGAGGCUCAACCUCAAAACCGCAGUCGAAACUAUUAGACUAGAGUAUAGUAGGGGUAAAGGGAAUUUCCAGUGGAGCGGUGAAAUGCGUAGAGAUUGGAAGGAACACCGAUGGCGAAGCACUUUACUGGGCUAUUACUAACACUCAGAGACGAAAGCUAGGGUAGCAAAUGGGAUUAGAUACCCCAGUAGUCCUAGCUGUAACAAUGGAUACUAGAUGUUGACAGAUCGACUGUGCAGUAUCAAGCUAACGCGUUAAGUAUCCCGCCUGGGAAGUAUGCUCGCAAGAGUG